CACGUAGGGGGCGAGCGUUGUCCGGAUUUAUUGGGCGUAAAGAGCUCGUAGGCGGUCUGUCGCGUCGAAUGUGAAAACCCGGGGCUCAACCCCGGGCCUGCAUUCGAUACGGGCAGACUAGAGUUCGGUAGGGGAGUCUGGAAUUCCUGGUGUAGCGGUGAAAUGCGCAGAUAUCAGGAGGAACACCGGUGGCGAAGGCGGGACUCUGGGCCGAUACUGACGCUGAGGAGCGAAAGCGUGGGGAGCAAACAGG
RNAcentral lists this ribosomal RNA (253 nucleotides) under uncultured bacterium. RNAcentral's name for it is "partial 16S ribosomal RNA". It matches the Rfam family "Bacterial small subunit ribosomal RNA", at positions 524 to 776 of the family's 1533-position model. The record is from RNAcentral.